GGUUCGAUCCUGGCUCAGAUUGAACGCUAAGGGAUGCUUUACAUGCAAGUCGAACGGCAGCACGGACUUCGGUCUGGUGGCGAGUGGCGAACGGUGAGUAAUGUAUCGGAACGUGCCUAGUAGCGGGGAUAAUCAGCGAAAGCGUGAAGCACACUGCAUACGCCCGGGGGAAAGUGGGGGGACCUUCGGCCUCGCACUAUUAGAGCGGCCGGAUAUCGGAUUAGCUAGUUGGUGGGGUAACGGCUCAUCCAAGGCGACGAUCCGUAGCUGGUUUGAGAGGACGACCAGCCACACUGGGACUGAGACACGGCCCAGACUCCCUACGGGAGGCAGCAGGGAAUUUUGGACAAUGGGGGAAACCCCGAUCCGCCAGGCCAUCCCGGGUGCGAUGAAGGCCUUCGGGUUGUAAAGCACUUUUGGUAGAAGAAACGGCACGGAGACACCGUGCAACUGACGGUACCUGUGAGAAUACACCGGCUGACUGAUGUGCCAGCAGAAGUCGGGUGGUAAUACGGGGUGCAAGCGUUAAUCGAAUUACUGGGCGUAAAGUGCGCAGGCGGUUUGAAAAGAAAGAUGUGAAAUCCCAGAGCUUAACUUUGAACUGCAUUUAUCUACUGAGCUAGAGUGGUGUCAGAGGAGGUGAAUUCGGCGUGUAGCAAGUGAAAUGCGUAGAUAUGCGGAGGAACACCGAUGGCGAAGGCAGCCUCCGGGAUAACACUGACGUCGGUGCACGAAAGCGGGAGCAAACAGGAUUAGAUACCCCGUAGUCCACGCCCUAAACGAUGUCAACUAUUGCUGGGGCCUUCGCCCUGGUAGCGCAGCUAACGCGUGAAGUUGACCGCCUGGGAGUACGGUUGUUGCAAGAUUAAAACUCAAGAUCAGACGGGGACCCGCACAAGUGGUGGAUGAUGUGGAUUACCCGAUGCAACGAAAAACCUUACCUACCCUUGACAUGUCUGGAAUCCUGAAGAGAUUUUGGGAGUGCUCGCAAGAGAACCGGAACACAGGUGCUUCGGUAUGGCUGUCGUCAGCUCGUGUCGUGAGAUGUUGGGUUAAGUCCGGCAACGAGCGCAUCCUGUCAUUAGUUGCUACGAAAGGGCACUCUAAUGAGACUGCCAGACAAAACUGAGGAAGGGUGGGGACGACGUCAAGUCCUCAUGGCCUCGCGGCAGGGCUUCACACGUCAUACAAUGGUCGGGACAGAGGGUCGCCAACCCGCGAGGGGGAGCCAAUCCCAGAAACCCGAUCAACUGACCAGUCUGCAACUCGAUCAGCGAAGUCAAUCGCGAGACCAAGGAUCGGGGCAUGCCGCGGUGAAUACGUUCCGGGUUCGUACACACCGCCCGUCACACCAAGGAGGCGGGGUUUUACCAGAUGGUUAGCCUAACUGCAGGAGGGCAUUACCACGGUAGGAUUCACAUCGGGGUGAACAAGGUAA
This 1438-nucleotide ribosomal RNA is filed under the name uncultured Bordetella sp. RNAcentral describes it as "partial 16S-23S ribosomal RNA intergenic spacer". It matches the Rfam family "Bacterial small subunit ribosomal RNA". The record is from RNAcentral. Lineage: Bacteria; Pseudomonadati; Pseudomonadota; Betaproteobacteria; Burkholderiales; Alcaligenaceae.